UACAGAGGUCUCAAGCGUUGUUCGGAUUCAUUGGGCGUAAAGGGUGCGUAGGUGGCGCUGUAAGUCGGGUGUGAAAUUUCGGAGCUUAACUCCGAAACUGCAUUCGAUACUGCGGUGCUUGAGGACUGGAGAGGAGACUGGAAUUCAUGGUGUAGCGGUGAAAUGCGUAGAGAUCAGGAAGAACACCGGUGGCGAAGGCGCUCUGCUAGGCCGCAACUGACACUGAGGGACGAAAGCUAGGGGAGCGAAUGGG
This 253-nucleotide ribosomal RNA is filed under the name uncultured bacterium. Its description in RNAcentral is "partial 16S ribosomal RNA". It matches the Rfam family "Bacterial small subunit ribosomal RNA", at positions 524 to 776 of the family's 1533-position model. The record is from RNAcentral.